GACGAACGCUGGCGGCGUGCUUAACACAUGCAAGUCGAGCGCUGAAGCUUUUUGGGGGUGGAUGAGCGGCGAACGGGUGAGUAACACGUGGGUGACCUGCCCUCAGCUCUGGGAUAAGCCUGGGAAGCUGGGUCUAAUACCGGAUAUGACCUUCUCUCGCAUGGGGGUUGGUGGAAAGUCUGUGUUGUGAGACAUGGGCGGUUGGGGAUGGGCCCGCGGCCUAUCAGCUUGUUGGUGGGGUGAUGGCCUACCAAGGCGG
This 259-nucleotide ribosomal RNA is filed under the name uncultured Actinomycetes bacterium. RNAcentral's name for it is "uncultured actinobacterium partial 16S ribosomal RNA". It matches the Rfam family "Bacterial small subunit ribosomal RNA", at positions 28 to 276 of the family's 1533-position model. The record is from RNAcentral. Lineage: Bacteria; Bacillati; Actinomycetota; Actinomycetes.